This is an RNA transcript of Nilaparvata lugens (brown planthopper), 5265 nucleotides long. RefSeq lists it as uncharacterized. Lineage: Eukaryota; Metazoa; Arthropoda; Insecta; Hemiptera; Delphacidae. The record is from RefSeq and is a predicted model, not a curated record. The transcript has 18 exons.
CGGGUUACCUGCUGUUAAUAAUAUUUUGUUUUUUUAUUUGACCACUCUACAGUAAGAUUGUACACAAUAAUAAUAUCGUGGGUCUGUUUUUGCAGUUGCUUGGUAUGGAUUGUAAGACACAGAAGAAGACGCAUUUAGAUGUUUUUGGAUCUUGAAUCUUGAUGCUCACAGAAAAGCAAGUCAACCAGACAGGCUCUGAAAAUUGAUGAAAUGGAACAAAUUAUUUGGACAAGACACUAGAAAAAUUCUACUCGGUCGGUUUUGAAAUCAUACCUCAAGAAACUUGCGGGAUCUUCGUCUGCACUGCACUAGCAUUUUAGGGUUUGUUGGAGGCGAACGACAUCCACAACAAUGGGAUAGCGGGGUUCGGGCGCCAACCCGACAGUGACAGUGGUGCACUGCGAGAUCCACCACGGACAGACGGGUGGCUUGUACGGGCUCGGCCAGUUCAUCGACAACCGCAUCCAUUCCCACAGCAACCCCACCGCAACGAGAUCUACAACGGCCAUCAGGGUGGCGUCUUCAUCUUGGGCGAAGGCCGCGGCUUGAUCGAGCAUAACAAUAUCUAUGUGACUCAAUGUGGAUUGUGAAGACACAGAAGGGGACGCAUUUGGAUCUUGAAUCAUGAAUGUUGAAUCUUGAUGCUCACAGAAAAGCAAGUCAACCAGACAGGCACUGAAAAUUGAUGAAAUGGAACAAAUUAUUUGGACAAGACACUAGAAAAAUUCUACUCGGUCGGUUUUGUAAUCAUACCUCAAGAUACUUGCGAGAUCUUCGUCUGCUCUGCACUAGCAUUUCAGGGUUUGUUGGAGGCGAACGACAUCCACAACAAUGGGAUAGCGGGGUUCGGGCGCCAACCCGACAGUGACAGUGGUGCACUGCGAGAUCCACCACGGACAGACGGGUGGCUUGUACGGGCUCGGCCAGUUCAUCGACAACCGCAUCCAUUCCCACAGCAACCCCACCGCAACGAGAUCUACAACGGCCAUCAGGGUGGCGUCUUCAUCUUGGGCGAAGGCCGCGGCUUGAUCGAGCAUAACAAUAUCUAUGUGACUCAAUGUGGAUUGUGAAGACACAGAAGGGGACGCAUUUGGAUCUUGAAUCAUGAAUGUUGAAUCUUGAUGCUCACAGAAAAGCAAGUCAACCAGACAGGCUCUGAAAAUUGAUGAAAUGGAACAAAUUAUUUGGACAAGACACUAGAAAAAUUCUACUCGGUCGGUUUUGAAAUCAUACCUCAAGAUACUUGCGAGAUCUUCGUCUGCACUGCACUAGCAUUUCAGUCGUCGCCGCCGCACCACGAUCAAUCGGCGGCAUCCCCAUCUAGUGGUGGUGGAUCUACAUGCAAGGAGCAUGCGCACUACCACUGCAUGUGGAUGCUGGAUGAGUUGGGCAACCUCGGCCGCUCCAGUACCAACUGCCCGACCAGGUGUUGCUAACCAUAUUCGGCUACUUGCUGUCGGUUUCAGGGCAUCAGCUCUGUUGCUUGGUAUGGAUUGUAAGACACAGAAGAAGACGCAUUUAGAUGUUUUUGGAUCUUGAAUCUUGAUGCUCACAGAAAAGCAAGUCAACCAGACAGGCUCUGAAAAUUGAUGAAAUGGAACAAAUUAUUUGGACAAGACACUAGAAAAAUUCUACUCGGUCGGUUUUGAAAUCAUACCUCAAGAAACUUGCGGGAUCUUCGUCUGCACUGCACUAGCAUUUUAGGGUUUGUUGGAGGCGAACGACAUCCACAACAAUGGGAUAGCGGGGUUCGGGCGCCAACCCGACAGUGACAGUGGUGCACUGCGAGAUCCACCACGGACAGACGGGUGGCUUGUACGGGCUCGGCCAGUUCAUCGACAACCGCAUCCAUUCCCACAGCAACCCCACCGCAACGAGAUCUACAACGGCCAUCAGGGUGGCGUCUUCAUCUUGGGCGAAGGCCGCGGCUUGAUCGAGCAUAACAAUAUCUAUGUGACUCAAUGUGGAUUGUGAAGACACAGAAGGGGACGCAUUUGGAUCUUGAAUCAUGAAUGUUGAAUCUUGAUGCUCACAGAAAAGGAAGUCAACCAGACAGGCUCUGGAAAUUGAUGAAAUGGAACAAAUUAUUUGGACAAGACACUAGAAAAAUUCUACUCGGUCGGUUUUGAAAUCAUACCUCAAGAUACUUGCGAGAUCUUCGUCUGCACUGCACUAGCAUUUCAGUCGUCGCCGCCGCACCACGAUCACUCGGCGGCAUCCACAUCUAGUGGUGGUGGAUCUACAUGCAAGGAGCAUGCGCACUACCACUGGAUGUGGAUGCUGGAUGAGUUGGGCAACCUCGGCCGCUCCAGUACCAACUGCCCGACCAGGUGUUGCUAACCAUAUUCGGCUACUUGCUGUCGGUUUCAGGGCAUCAGCUCUGUUGGGGCAAACUGAGCCGCUUCGGCGAGCGGGCCAAUAAUUUCAACAUUGUUUCAAUUCCAAGUUGAUUGUUUUGAAUUAAUAUAGUCUACUGUUACAGAGAGACUAUGCCUUUUGAAAAUAUAAACGGUUACCUGAUAAGUACCUUAAUGUGUGUUAUGAAAUAUGAUUGAUAUCCAACUAUUUAAUAAAUUUCUCAAUUUGAAAGAUUCAAAUAAUGAUAUUAUUUCGAUUAUUUACUUGCUCACCAAGUGCAGUUUUCUCGGUGAAAGCUUAAACCGAAUUGGAUCAGCUGGUGUGUUUUAAUAUCAAUUAAACUUAACAUGGAUUUAAUUCAUAUUAAGCCGACAUUUGGUUCAAACUGGUACUGUGAAAACGGCUUUUAAAUCGUUAGAAUUAUUCAAGUAAUUAGUAUGGUGAUUAUUAUCAUAGAAAAAAGAUAUCAUAAGAAGAUAACCCUAUGGUAUAGAUUGUUUAUGUUUCAUUGUGCGUUUUAAAACAGUAAAGAAAAAAGUAUCUCAGGUUUGGCUGAAAUUUGCACCAUAGAUGAAGCUUUAUCUGAGAAAUGUCUGAGCCAAAUUUGGCACCCCCAGCUACUAUACAGGGUGAGUUAUGCAGCUUCAAACGUAAAAUUUGCAAAUUUUCAAACGGUGAGGAAUUUUGCAAAUCGGAUUCCAGAUUCAUGUUCCUCUCAUCAAAGAGCAUAAGGUCACGAAGUUAGAGCGAUUUUGAUUUUUCACAAAAAAAUUAGAUAAACCAUGGAUUUUAUGAAAAAUGCGAAUGUGCCAGAUUCGGUUGAUAUUCGAACUAUGGAAAGAGGUUGACUCAAUAGUGAUAGAUAAAUGUCUUUUAUUUUCAUUUUAUAACAUUACAAAUGAUGUGGGCGAAGUUGAGGCAAUAAGAGCCCCCCUCUUCCACUUGACCCACAAGUAUGGGUCUGUUUGUGUAAAUGGCAGAAGAUAAGAAAAGAUUCAUUGAACAAUUGACAAGUUUACUUGAUAGAAUACUUGACAAUUAUAUAGUCUAAAAUAAGAACUUAGUCAAAAAUAACAGAUUAAACUAGCUGACGUACAAACAACUCUAAAGUAAUUUUUCACUAAGUUACCAAGAGGGAUUAUUAACUAUGGAAUGAGAAAGAAAUCAAUAAAAAUGCUUACUUUCUUAAUCAGAUUUAUUAUAGUUUUUAGUAUAAAAGAUUUUUUUUCAAAGAGCAAAGAAUAAAGAGUUAACCUGAUUUCAAAAACUCAGUCCAAGUAAACUGAAGAUCAGUAGUAAAUUAUACAAGAAAAUUUACAAUAAUCAAAAAUAUAAUAGCUGUAAAUUCUGCUCAAAAUAAGAUCUAGUUGCACGAAAUUUGUUUAAUAACUGAUUAAAUUAUUAGAUUUUUCUGUAUUAGCUGUUAUGCUACUAUAGCGGUGACUGAGGACUCUAUAGAUUUGUUUCUUCAAGUAUUUCAGAAGAAGUUGCUGUUGUGGGCUGUACAGCUCGCUUUCCUGAUAGAUUUUCCUUUGAGAAUCUGAUCUGUUUCAUUUUCAUGAUGGCCUAUGGGCUAUGUGAGAUAAUGGGUUGAUGUUCCAGUAAUUUAACCAUAACUAUUGAACGGUUCAUCAGAGCCUUAUUUUGUAGCAAACGUUGUUGUAUAAUAUAACAUUUUUCUCAUCAUCAUAUACCGUAGUUGAAAAUUUUGUCACUGCAAUUAAUAAAAUCAAACUGAGAGAUUUAAUGCUUCAAAAAAAAAGCAGGACCGCAUCUCUAGUAGAAUUUUCCCUAGUUUUUAUAUCUCUAACUUUUGUUAGCUUCAUAGUAGCUUUGUACGCAUGAGGACCUUUUUUGUAUAAUAUCAAAUUGACUGUUGAGUAACAAGUUCUAAUUACUAACUAAAGUCAAGAGUAAAGAGCUAUUUUAUAGCUUCAAAGAAAAAUUUGAAUCAUAUUCUCAAUGUAGCCUAUUCCUUAGCAAUGUUACCUCAAUAACUUACUUUUGAAAGACUUCUUGUUGAAUAUUUUAGAAAUAUUUCAAGCCAGAACAAGUGAAUAACUUUUCUCCAUUUAUUUCGAUUUUCAAUAUAAUAAUUAUAUACCGUAGUUAGUAGGUAGCUUUUGAAUUUGCCGGUUGAUAACCUAGUUUGAAUUUGCCGGUGAGCCAUCUUGAUAAUGAUGUUUCAAAACCUUUUGAAGAAUGAAGAGUGAAUCUUUUUAUGAAUCAUUCUUUCAAACGUAAUCAAGACAUCAAUCUAUAGUUAUAAAAUUCCUUAUCUAUAAAAAAUCAUUUGAGAACCAUUGAAUGUCGAUAUUUUCUCCAAAUGCAUCAAUCAGAAGUACUUAUAUAUAUUCCCAACUUUUCAAUGAAUAAUGGUAUAAAUCAACUAGAGAAUAUAUUUGAAACUUUUAAAAUCAUCAUUUGAAUAUCAUAAUUCUAUUUUGAUGAUAGAUAUACUUAAUUAUUUUCUAUUAUUUUUUUGCGUUGUGUAGUGGUACGGCUGGCUACCUGCUGUUCAAGCUAAUCAGCUGUUUGAUGCUCAUUAUUUUUUCAACUAUGAAUUGCGUUAAUAGUGCUUCCAAUAAACAGGAUAAUUUGAUACAUCAGAGAAAUAAUUUAAAUAUUCUAUUUGAACGUAUCAAUUGUUAAUACUUAAUUAUUUUUUCAUUAUUAUUUUGCGGUGUGUAGUGGUACAGCUGGUUACCAAAAUCCGUCUCCAUCGAGUUGCUUGGUAUGGAUUGUAAGACACAGAAGAAGACGCAUUUAGAUGUUUUUGGAUCUUGAAUCUUGAUGCUCACAGAAAAGCAAGUCAACCAGACAGGCUCUGAAAAUUGAUGAAAUGGAACAAAUUAUUUGGACAAGACACUAGAAAAAUUCUACUCGGUCGGUUUUGAAAUCAUACCU